Molecule: ribosomal RNA, 486 nt
Filed under: Bacillus sp. LBBMA TR8
Lineage: Bacteria; Bacillati; Bacillota; Bacilli; Caryophanales; Bacillaceae
Description: bacterial SSU rRNA
Rfam family: Bacterial small subunit ribosomal RNA
Source: RNAcentral
UAUCGAGCGGACAGAUGGGAGCCCUGCUCCCUUAUGUUAGCGGCGGACGGGUGAGUAACACGUGGGUAACCUGCCUGUAAGACUGGGAUAACUCCGGGAAACCGGGGCUAAUACCGGAUGGUUGUCUUGAACCGCAUGGUUCAGACAUAAAAGGUGGCUUCGGCUACCACUUACAGAUGGACCCUGCGGCGCAUUAGCUAGUUGGUGAGGUAACGGCUCACCAAGGCGACGAUGCGUAGCCGACCUGAGAGGGUGAUCGGCCACACUGGGACUGAGACACGGCCCAGACUCCUACGGGAGGCAGCCAGUAGGGAAUCUUCCGCAAUGGACGAAAGUCUGACGGAGCAAACGCCGCGUGAGUGAUGAAGGUUUCGGAUCGUAAAGCUCUGUUGUUAGGGGAAGAACCAAGUGCCGUUCAAAUAGGGNGCGGCACCUUGACGGGUUACCCUAAACCAGAAAAGCCAACGGCUAAACUUACGUGCCAAG